Molecule: ribosomal RNA, 179 nt
Filed under: uncultured Peptostreptococcus sp.
Lineage: Bacteria; Bacillati; Bacillota; Clostridia; Peptostreptococcales; Peptostreptococcaceae
Description: partial 16S ribosomal RNA
Rfam family: Bacterial small subunit ribosomal RNA
Source: RNAcentral
UACUCCUACGGGAGGCAGCAGUGGGGAAUAUUGCACAAUGGGCGCAAGCCUGAUGCAGCAACGCCGCGUGAACGAUGAAGGUCCUUUCGGAUCGUAAAGUUCUGUUGCAGGGGAAGAUAAUGACGGUACUCUGUGAGGAAGCUUUCGGCUAACUACGUGCCAGCACCGCGGUAAUACAG